Molecule: small nuclear RNA, 164 nt
Filed under: Castor canadensis (American beaver)
Lineage: Eukaryota; Metazoa; Chordata; Mammalia; Rodentia; Castoridae
Description: U1 spliceosomal RNA (ENSCCNG00000009782.1)
Rfam family: U1 spliceosomal RNA
About the family: U1 is a small nuclear RNA (snRNA) component of the spliceosome (involved in pre-mRNA splicing). Its 5' end forms complementary base pairs with the 5' splice junction, thus defining the 5' donor site of an intron. There are significant differences in sequence and secondary structure between metazoan and yeast U1 snRNAs, the latter being much longer (568 nucleotides as compared to 164 nucleotides in human).
Source: Rfam by way of RNAcentral
AUACUUACCUGGCAGGGGAGAUACCAUGAUCACAAAAGUGGUUUUCCCAGGGCGAGGCUUACCCAUUGCACUCCAGAUGUGCUGACCCUUGCGAUUUCCCCAAAUGUGGAAAACUUGACUGCAUAAUUUGUGGUAGGGGGGGACUGUGUUUGUGCUUUCCCCUG